Molecule: ribosomal RNA, 434 nt
Filed under: uncultured bacterium
Lineage: Bacteria
Description: partial 16S ribosomal RNA
Rfam family: Bacterial small subunit ribosomal RNA
Source: RNAcentral
AGCGAACGCUGGCGGCAGGCCUAACACAUGCAAGUCGAACGAACCUUUCGGGGUUAGUGGCGGACGGGUGAGUAACACGUGGGAACGUGCCUUUAGGUUCGGAAUAACUCAGGGAAACUUGUGCUAAUACCGAAUGUGCCCUUCGGGGGAAAGAUUUCUCGCCUUUAGAGCGGCCCGCGUCUGAUUAGCUAGUUGGUUGAGGUAAUGGCUCACCAAGGCGACGAUCAGUAGCUGGUCUGAGAGGAUGAUCAGCCACAUUGGGACUGAGACACGGCCCAAACUCCGACGGGAGGCAGCAGUGGGGAAUCUUGCGCAAUGGGCGAAAGCCUGACGCAGCCAUGCCGCGUGAAUGAUGAAGGUCUUAGGAUUGUAAAAUUCUUUCACCGGGGACGAUAAUGACGGUACCCGGAGAAGAAGCCCCGGCUAACUUCGUG